RNAcentral lists this transfer RNA (72 nucleotides) under Herbiconiux flava. Its description in RNAcentral is "tRNA-Gln". The record is from RNAcentral. Lineage: Bacteria; Bacillati; Actinomycetota; Actinomycetes; Micrococcales; Microbacteriaceae.
GGUCCUUCAGCCUGGAUGGGUCCUUCUCCCUGGGGGAAGGCCGAGCCGGGGGUCUCCUCCUCGGAGGCCCCC